RNAcentral lists this unclassified non-coding RNA (241 nucleotides) under plant metagenome. RNAcentral describes it as "partial contains small subunit ribosomal RNA, internal transcribed spacer 1, and 5.8S ribosomal RNA". The record is from RNAcentral.
UUUCCGUAGGCGAACCUGCGGAAGGAUCAUUCACAAUAAGUGUUUUAUGGCACUUUUUAAACAUUCCAUGUCCACCUUGUGUGCAACGUAAUGAGAUCCUCUAUCGUUAUCUUUUAGGUUACUGAAGAGGAAACCUCUAAAACUUACCAAAAUCACCUAUAACUUAUUUUUCUGAUCCUUUGUUAUCACGAAUUAACUUAAUUCGAAAAUACAACUUUUAACAACGGAUCUCUUGGCUCUC